Molecule: ribosomal RNA, 468 nt
Filed under: uncultured bacterium
Lineage: Bacteria
Description: partial 16S ribosomal RNA
Rfam family: Bacterial small subunit ribosomal RNA
Source: RNAcentral
GACGAACGCUGGCGGCGUGCUUAACACAUGCAAGUCGAACGGAAAGGCCCUUCUUUUGUGGGGUGCUCGAGUGGCGAACGGGUGAGUAACACGUGAGUAACCUGUCCUUGCCUUUGGGAUAACUUCAGGAAACUGGGGUUCAUACCGGGUAGGAGCUCCUGCUGCAUGGUGGGGGUUGGAAAGUUUCGGCGGUUGGGGAUGGACUCGCGGCUUAUCAGCUUGUUGGUGGGGUAGUGGCUUACCAAGGCUUUGACGGGUAGCCGGCCUGAGAGGGUGACCGGCCACAUUGGGACUGAGAUACGGCCCAGACUCCUACGGGAGGCAGCAGUGGGGAAUAUUGCACAAUGGGCGGAAGCCUGAUGCAGCAACGCCGCGUGCGGGAUGACGGCCUUCGGGUUGUAAACCGCUUUCGCCUGUGACGAAGCGUGAGGGACGGGAAUGGGUAAAGAAGGACCGGCUAACUACGUG